CAACGUCACCUGAUCCGAGUAUUCCCUAAUAACGUGAACAAUUAAUGGUGGAGAUGGUGAUCCCAGGUAACCAGAACAUCUGCCUCGCCACCUGGAGCAACACCGGCUAGGUACUGCAGUCCUGCAAAGGAAGGUGAACAGCAAGGAGCCUGGAGUACUGACAAGGCAGGAUUCUGGUCCAAAAUGGCAAAGUAGCUGUCCACAGACAGUGGAGCAGGAAAAUAUGAGUCUAGUGUUGUGUUAUUCUUUCUUACAGUACUUUCCACUCUACAUAAGCCUGAAAUGCUGGGGAAAUUUCUUCCUCAGAAUAAAAAAAAAAAAAAAAAAGAUAAAUUAUAAGAAGUUCAUCAUCUGCCUAGAAUGCUUUGAACAGGUAUCACUUAGCCACCACAAUCAACAUCUCAUGUUGCAGGGUGGAGUAGGAUAAUAAAUUUUAGCAUAUAAUGAUGUUACCAUAGUAUACAGGCCACUUGACAGUACUUGCAUCCUAUUCCAGAAAGUCAUCUUGUCUGUCUAAUCUGAAGCUCCCAAAUACUGCUAUGAAUAAAUCAACAGGUCUGGAAGCCUCGUGUUUUAGAAUUCAAAACUGCUGGAUAAGGAGCUCUCUGGUCCAUUUACACUAAGUUUUAAUAUACCCUGGAAGUCAAGGAAGUUUCAGAAGCAGAUUUUUUUAUCACCAUUUUCAAGGAGUGAUGUCUGAAGUAAUUAAAAUUUUCUCAACCUGAGUUUGAGCUCAUUUGAAAUUAACAGCACAUCUAGUACAGGACUUAAGUAGCCAGCUGAAAGGGAGGUAAUACAACAAAUUUUCCUUAAAAUUAUGGAAACUUUGUGUGAAUGCAAUUUUAUGUCAAUUUCAUAUCUUUCUGAUAACACAAAACUUGUUCUUUUUGUAACAGACUACAAUACUUUCUGAAACAUUAAAAUUAUUGAUUAAAAUAAAAGCUUUAAAAGCUGA
Molecule: long non-coding RNA, 955 nt
Organism: Passer domesticus (house sparrow)
Lineage: Eukaryota; Metazoa; Chordata; Aves; Passeriformes; Passeridae
Exons: 2
Source: RefSeq, a predicted model, not a curated record